Molecule: ribosomal RNA, 115 nt
Filed under: Candidatus Pelagibacteraceae bacterium
Lineage: Bacteria; Pseudomonadati; Pseudomonadota; Alphaproteobacteria; Candidatus Pelagibacterales; Candidatus Pelagibacteraceae
Source: RNAcentral
CUUGGUGGUUUUAGCGGAGAGGUUACACACGAUUCCAUUCCGAACUCGAACGUUAAGGGCUCCAGCGCCGAUGGUACUAUGUCUUAAGGCAUGGGAGAGUAGGACAUUGCCAAGU